ACACCAGGGGUGGAGCCUGUGGCUUAAUUUGAAUCAACACGGGGGAAACUUACCAGGACCAGAUGUUUUUUAUGACUGACAGGCUUCGGGUCUUUCAGGAUAUUGUUUUUGGUGGUGCAUGGCCGUUGGUGGUGCGUGGGUUGACCUGUCUAGCGUUGAUUCAGCUAACGAGCGAGAUUAUCGCCAAUUAUUUACUUUGCCGAAGUCCUUCGGUUAAAGUUCUAAUUGGGACUCCCUGCGAUUUUAGCAGGUGGAAGAGGGUAGCAAUAACAGGUCCGUGAUGCCCUUUAGAUGCUCUGGGCUGCACGCGUGCUACAAUGUUAGGAUCAAUAGGACUGCGAGCCUGAGAGGGUGCGCUACUCUUAUAAUCCCUAACGUAGUUGGGAUUGACGUUUGUAAUCAGCGUCAUGAACCAGGAAUCCCUUGUAAAUGUGUGUCAACAACGCACGUUGAAUACGUCCCUGCCCUUUGUACACACCGCCCGUCGCUCCUACCGAUUGGAUGACUCGGUGAAAUCACCGGAUGCUUACGAGCAGAAAGUGAUUAAAUCACGUUAUCUAGAGGAAGGAGAAGUCGUAACAAGGUAACGGUAGGUGAACCUGCCGUUGGAUCAGUU
This 616-nucleotide non-coding RNA is filed under the name Trichomonas vaginalis G3. RNAcentral describes it as "Eukaryotic small subunit ribosomal RNA". It matches the Rfam family "Eukaryotic small subunit ribosomal RNA", at positions 1166 to 1831 of the family's 1831-position model. Lineage: Eukaryota; Parabasalia; Trichomonadida; Trichomonadidae. The record is from Rfam by way of RNAcentral.